AUUCCAAGGAUACAGAUAAUUGCAAGACACAGGCAAAGCAGAGAGAAAUCUGAGACAACCAACACAGCUGCUCAGGCCCUUCCUACCACAUUAGAAUGAUCCUCGGCCCUGAUUUAAAAUAUGAGGUCUUCAUUUAAGUGAUAAAUAAAUGUGGGGGCCUCACUUAAGCAUAGCUAGUUAUUUUGAUCAAUAUCUUGCUCUCUCCCUUUUAUUCUUUGAUAAUUAAAUAGCAGACACUAGACAGUGAAAUUUUCCACUGGUCCAUGCCCCAUAAACCCUUAAAUUCCAGGUUUGUUGACUAUAAGCCAUCUAGAAAGACCAGGUAUAUCUUGUUAAUAGAUAAGGACUCUCAGUCGUUCUCCUCCAAUAAAUACCAUGAGGACGUCUGAGUAGCAUGUUUACAGAGAGGUUUGACCAAGUCAUUUGUCCUUGGGUAUCACCAAGAUAGGAAGAAUGGAUUAAAGAUAGGCUGCUAACUCUUUCCUUCCUAGCAACCUAGGAUUUAGACCUCUCAGAAAUGAAGGCCUGAAUCGCCCCACCAGACAAAUGGCUUAGACAAAAUGCAGUGCUGAUCCAUCAUGACAGAAUCUAGAAGAUGUGGUGGAAGAGAGAGAUGAAUAUCAGUAAUGGUAUUGGGACCAAGCUGCAAUGGGGACUGUGGCUUGUUCCACUAACCAUACUGUAUCAAGACUUUUAUAGAGAUUGUGGCUGAAUCCUUGCUGAAGGACUCAAUGACUAGGUGGAACUUAAUAUGGGAAUGAGCAUAUUUAAGAAGCACAAGGAUUGUGCAGUAGCAGAUGUCAAUAUCACAUCUUUCAGUCUGAGCUUCACUGUACAAUCUCAUGUAAACAUAAACACACUUUAUUCUGCCAUAAUCUCAUCUCAAGCACGGGCCAUGCAUCCUUCUGCAUUCAGUCCAAGUCUUUUCUGAUUCUGUUUACCCCAAAGAAAAUAACAGCCCAUAAUUGCAGAAAGUCAUUGCCAGCCCUGGUGGUCUAGUGGUUAAGAUUCGGUGCUCUCAUUGAUGUGGCUUAUGUUCAUUUUCUGGUCAGGAAACCACACC
RNAcentral lists this long non-coding RNA (1063 nucleotides) under Equus caballus (horse). RNAcentral describes it as "lncRNA (ENSECAG00000053608.1)". Lineage: Eukaryota; Metazoa; Chordata; Mammalia; Perissodactyla; Equidae. The record is from RNAcentral.